AUGGAGAAUGUUGUUGUGUUGAUUGUUGGCGCUGGGCCAGCAGGCCUUGCAACAGCAGCAUGCCUUAGCCAAUUCUCAAUUCCCUAUCUCAUUGUCGAGCGUGAAAGUUGCAGCGCGUCGCUUUGGCGCAGCCGCGCCUACGAUCGCCUCAACAUGCAUCUUGCAAAGGAGUUCUGUGAGUUGCCACACAUGUCAUACCCACUAAAUGCGCCAACAUACAUACCAAAAACCUUAUUUGUGAAGUACUUGGAUGAUUGUGUUGAGCGUUUCAACAUUCAACCCAAGUAUCUCACUAGUUUGGAGUCAUCCACAUUUGACAAUGGCGAAAAUUGGUCCAUCGCGGCACAUGACAUGGCAAAGAGCACAAUAGUCAGGUUCACAGAAAAGUUUCUUGUUGUGGCAAGUGGUGAGAAUAGUGCAGAGAAUAUUCCAAUGAUCCCCGGACUGCAAAGUUUCCCGGGUGAUGUCAUCCACUCCUCAAGCUACAAGUCAGAAAAGAGCUACUCUGGCAUGAAUGUAUUGGUCGUUGGAUCUGGCAACUCUGGAAUGGAAUUUGCUUAUGACCUUGCGGCCCAUGGUGCCAAUACUUCAAUCAUUAUACGAAGCCCGGUAUGUACACACAUUAUAUAUAUUUUUUGGCCUGGAAACACUAGGGGAUCCCCCCACCCCCACCGUAUGGGCAGUAUAUAUUUUCAGUGGGUACAUAGCAAUUUCUUAUUAUAG
RNAcentral lists this ribosomal RNA (723 nucleotides) under Triticum aestivum (bread wheat). RNAcentral describes it as "partial small subunit ribosomal RNA". The record is from RNAcentral. Lineage: Eukaryota; Viridiplantae; Streptophyta; Magnoliopsida; Poales; Poaceae.